Molecule: long non-coding RNA, 1231 nt
Organism: Neogale vison (American mink)
Lineage: Eukaryota; Metazoa; Chordata; Mammalia; Carnivora; Mustelidae
Exons: 4
Source: RefSeq, a predicted model, not a curated record
CAGAGCCCCAUGCAGGGCUCCAUCCCACGACCAAGAGAUCACGACCUGCGCUGAAGUCAAGAGUCAGACACUUAUCGGACCGCACCAUCCAGUCACCCCGAGGCACUGAUAUUUGUGGUGGAGAACCAAGGAAGGCUUCUGGGGAUAUGCUGGACUGAGAUUUGGCCCCACACCCACGUGCUGACCCCUAACCUCACCUCACAAGCAGCUUGGCUCCUUCUCAUAGUGUAGACUCCUGCCCGCCAGGACCAGGCUGUGCAGGCCCACCUGUGUGUGUGUCCUCUGCUAGGCUGACAUCACCUUCCCCUGCUCCCUGACAAAGGAGAAUCGCAGAAACAGAAGAGAUGCAAGAGAGAGAGCACAAACAGGAGAAGCAGGCUCCCAGCUGAGCAGAGAGCCCUAGGUGGGGCUCCAGUCCAGGACCUGAUCAGAGCCAAAGGCAGCCGCUUAACCAACUGAGCCACCCAGCUUUCACUUCUAUAGGAUCUCUGGAACAGUGCUGCACGAAGCGACUAUGGUAAGCAUCCUUUCCUCCCACUCCUGGGUAAAUACCCAACAGAAAUGCAUGCAUAUGUGCAUCAAAUAGACAUGCCCAUGAAUGUUCAGAGCAACAUUCACUACAGGCCAAACCGGAAACAAUCCAAAGUGUCCUUCCAUAGUUUGGGUGUGCUGUAUUCAUACAAUGGAAUACUACUUACAGCAGUGAAAACAAGUUACUUCUAUGCACAAUACUAUGGAUAAAUCUCCUAAAUAUUACGUUGAGUGACAGAGGCAAGACACCAAAAAGUACAGUCUGAAUGAUCUAGUCCUGCAAAGGCCAAAGACAGGCAAAACUAAUCUACAGUGUCAGAAAUCGGGAGAGUAGUUACCCUUGGUGGGUAGUGAAGAGGAGGCUGCAUGAGCAAGGCUUCUGGGGAGCUGGAAGUUUUCAUUUCUUGGUCUGAAGGAGGUUAUAUACCAUGUUUACUUUUAAAAAAUGAUUGGGGUGCCUGGGUGGCUCAGUUGGUUAAGUACCCAACUCUUGGUUUUGGCUCAGGUCAUGAUCUCAAGGUUGUGGGAUUGAGCCCCGCCAUGGGCUCCACGCUUGGCGCAGAGGCUGCUGGAGAGUCUCUCACUCUUCCUCUCCUUUCCCCUCUGCUCCACCCUCUUUGUCCCCCUCUGAAAAUAAAAUCUUUCAAAAAAAAUUGAGCAGCACCCCUUUGAUUUCUGUACUUUUAUGUAUUUUAUAUUU